AACCUAUGACCAGUGACCAGUGAGCUGUCUGGUACUGAACACACUCUCUGGUUUGGUCAGCAGAUCAGACAAAGAGAACCAUUUUUUCAGAUUGUUUCGUGUGUGGAUUACUGUUAUUCUCCCUCAUACAUCAUGUCAGGAAACUUCCAAAGUCCACCUUUCUUUGGGACAGAAAGUGGUCUUCAGCCCUCUCUGCCUAUGAUGAGCAACUCUACAAACUCAGGAAGGGUGUGCAACACCUCCAGUGUUUCCACCCCAGCUGUGAGUUUAGCAUGGCUCCUGCCACCAAGCACCAACACUUCCCUCCAGAUGAUCACAGGCAGAGCCUACCUUAACCCACAUGCUGACAUGACCAUGCUGGUGGAGCUGAAUGAUCAGAGCCAGAUCUCAACCUCUGCACUCUUCUAUCCAGGUGUUCUCAAGUGGGAACUCACGGAAAGCAAAGAUAGGGGAGAUGCUCUCCAGGAAUUCAAUAGGACCAUCACUGACCAAGACAAUGCACUCUCCUCCCUGUCUGUGACAUCCCAGUGUGAUAAAAUUUUAGAUCCCAAUACCAUAGCCCCUUUCCAUCCAUCACUUUUAACCAGUUUUGUCCAAGUUACACCACCACAGGUACCAGAUCAAGGAUAUAGCCUGGCACCUUCCUACCAGGAUGGCAGCCAGGUGUACUACUACAACCACAACCUCAUGGACCAUCUGAUACCGGGAGAACUGGGGCAGUGUCUGCAGCCCUACAGCUCUGUGUCCUGCCUUGUGAGCAAGGAUUCUGCCCCUCAACCAGAGAUGCUGAUGGUGGGAAAGGUGAUUCAGCCAAGGGAUGCCCUAAUACCACUCUCCACCUCUGGCUUCUCCUAUUCCACAUCUGGUCAAAAUAUGCCAGACAUCAGUCUUCCUGUGGUGGACAUGGAGACAUCCCAAGGAUUGCUACCCUCGGGCCAGACAGUCAGUCUGUUGCAGAGUCCAGAACUCUGCAAUAUUUCCACCGAGGUUUUCAAGAUGAGGACACCACCUGUUAAUGGGAACAGUUUAUUAACAGCCCCCGUGUACAGUUCUUCAGAAUUCCUGACCUUGCCUCUAGCUCCAAGCCUGGAAGAAAAAGAGAAUGAAAACAUGCUUGAGAUGAAAGCUGAGCUGUCAAUGCCUGGGGAUGCCUAUGAGGGCACUAAAGAAAACCAAGGCCCAUCACACCUGCCUUUAGUGCACCCUGACUGCACUGAUACAAGAAGUCUAAGACCAAAGUCUGCUUUUGACAAUGCCAGCAUGAAAGGCAUCAGUGUGGGUCUGGAAGAGCAAGAGAAGCUGGAGAAUGAGACUGGAUUCAGAAACAACUUUGACGACAUCACUACACUGGGAGCAGGUGAUCACCUUCCCCAGUUCUUCAAAACCCUCAAAGACAUAGACUGGGGCCCUCCCCUUCAGAGCUGGAGAGUCAUGAGCAGCUCCUCUGAAAAGGUGACAAAGAAUGACCUAAAAGCCUCUGACCUGCUCGAUGGAGCUCCUCAGGCUAAAAUCCAGCACCAGGACCUGGUCAGGGGAGAGGGGAGUGGACGCUGUGCAAAGGAAAAGGAAAGAGCUAUUGAAAACAUCUCAAAGCAUCUGGAUGGCAAAGCUCCCAAAGAGGCACCCAGCAAGCACAGCAGAGCUAGAAAACAGGGGCAAGAAAGACCAAGUGGGCCAGAGAACAACUCCAAGAAAACACAGGAGCUUAAGCAGUCAAGGAACAGAGUCAAAGCAGAAGAGAAGCCCACCAUCCCCAAGACCAAGAGGAAGAGGAACCCACCUAAGCUCUGUCAAAACAGCUUCAAGAAGCCUCGAACCCACCUUGCAAUGCACAUGCUGGAGUCCGUGCAGGUCUUCCACCCACUCGGGAAGAAGAUUGAGAAGAAAACUGGCAUCUCUUCCUUCGGGGGUCUGCGAACCUCCACCAACAACAAAGAUCAAGGCCCAGGCCCAGCCACCUCUGCACUGCUAGAUAUGCCACCUGAGGGCCGGGGUCCUGACAGAAUCCCAGGCAAAGCUCAGAGAGCAAAGAUCAGUGCUCACAAGGAGUGUACAUCUACAUCCCAGUAUGAGCUGCCCUUGCCUGGGAAGGUCAAGUUAGUACCUUUGCCUUUCCCAACACUGGACCAACCUCAAGCCAGACCUGCUUCUAGAAAGCCUCUCCCCCUGGCUUCACACAGGCCCACUGCAGCUUACCCUGUGAGGCUUCAUCCCCACUCAGCUCAUCCAUCCAAACCAGCUCCUGUAAGCACAUCUCUGAUGGCCUCUGCCAAUUCAGCUCCUCCAAUUUCCUUCAGUGCUACACAACCUAAUAUAGCCAACACCAGUCAGUCUAGUGCUAUGCCUCAGUUGGCCUACAUGAGGCUUGUACCCUACAGAGCAUCCUCUCACACUUCAUUCCAGAGAGAGCUUAUUUCUUCUGCCAGGAAUAAGGCACCAUCACCACCCAAACCUCAAACCCAACAUCGACUGCAAGACUUCAGCUGCCAAUCAAUUCCAUGGAGGAAAGUCAACAUUCUGGGACCACUCAUCUCACAGCCCAUCACAAAAGAGCAGAGGCCAGAGAGGGAAGCCAUGAAGAGGCGUGCUCAACAGGAGCGUGAGAAUGCUGCCAAGUGUAGCUCUCCUGGGAAACUACAGCUUUUCCUUCACAGGGAAACUGAUAUGGAAAUUUCUCAAUAUUAUGGCUAUGCAAUGUAGGAGCUGGCCAGAACUUGUAACAUAGUACUUGUGAUGUGUAUAAUGACAGGUACACAGAUACAGAUAUAUACAUAGAACUCCAAGGUUCAUAUAAGAGUGUAGAUGCAUAAUUAAAUAUGUAGCUAUGUAGAUGAAUAUGUAGAUGUUUGUGUUUAUAUAAAUGAACAGACAAAUUUUCUAUAAUAAUUUUAAAUAUUUGAAGUCAGCAAAAUUAACUGGAGUAAUUUUAGUCAGUUCUUUAAUCCAUAGCAUAUACAGGGCUUUGUUAUUUAAGUCAGUUCUUUAAUCCAUAGCAUAUACAGGGCCUUUGUUGUUUAUGUCAGUUCUUUAAUCCAUAGUAUAUAUAGGAGAGGUCUUUGUUAUUGUUCUCAUAACUUUAAU
Molecule: long non-coding RNA, 3081 nt
Filed under: Mus musculus (house mouse)
Lineage: Eukaryota; Metazoa; Chordata; Mammalia; Rodentia; Muridae
Description: predicted gene, 65449
Source: RNAcentral